Long non-coding RNA from Dermacentor andersoni, 1343 nucleotides. RefSeq lists it as uncharacterized. The record is from RefSeq and is a predicted model, not a curated record. NCBI's taxonomy places the organism in Eukaryota, Metazoa, Arthropoda, Arachnida, Ixodida, Ixodidae.
CGCGAUAACAACCAACACUAACCUACUCCCCCGCCCCCCGCUGAGCGAUGCCGUCUUGAUCGCCCCCUCCCAACCCCGGGAAAAGGGACACUACCUCUCUAUCUCAGUUGAAGAAACGAUGAUGAAACGUUAACAACGACAAGAACGAGAUUUCCUAACGAGUUGUCUUAUGGCCUCCGAGAUUUGCGCGCGAAGCUGGCGCGCGCGAACCUGGGAGGCCAUAAUUGGCCGCUUAAUAGCAUAAAAAGACAAAAAGAUAAUGCCAAACGACACAGUUAAAAAUUCAAACAACGUACUGAUCUUAGCUAUACUGUUUGGGGAAAAGAAAUAAAAAAUUAGACAGCCGUAACACACGCCACUAAAGCCACCAUCGCCGGCAUAACGCGGAACCAACAGUUGGCAACAUUGCUUCGUCCGCUUCGUCUCCGCAACGAGAGCCGCUGAGAGCCGCCAUCCUUUCGCGCCGGCCGUUUUGUCAUAGUUCUGUUUUUCUGCAAGUCCGUGCACGCAGCUCAUCGGUAGAUGCACGGCUGCACGGCGUCGCAUUGCGACCUGCGGCAUUUUCUCGUGUUCGCGCAAUCGGUGUGAAACAUGUCGCAUGUGAAAUAUUUGAUAGAAGUGCAUCACGUCCAAGUCAAGCCGCCGUACGAGUGUAUGGCUGUGUGCCCCGUUCUCGGAAGCGUCGACGGGUUUCCGGCAUGCGGAUUUCAGCGUGUGGACUCGACUUGACUUUUGGUGAGGAUGUCGAUCGACCUUGGGCCUGGUGACAGCACACCCGACAUGGCCGAAGUGCAGCCUAUCAGUUGAGUGCCCCCGAAUGGACCAUCAGCAUCGGUGAAUGAAGCAGAUCCAGGGGUAAAAGGUUCCGGUAACACCAUGCAUUCAGUAUGGUGGCCCAGACGUGUAUGCAAGCAACCUCCUUCACGUGGCCCAAGAACUACUCUGCAGUGUCUCGCAGACUUCCAUGCGAAGCCCUCAACAUUCUCGUCUCAGUGGAAUGGCUGCUCAUCUAUCUGCGUGUCCAUCACCAAGACGGCCAGUUGUAAAGCUCCUGUACCUGUUUAAGAAAGCUUAAUGAUUUUUUAUUUAGUUUUCACGGUUGGCCGUAGAAUCUUACCAUUUUUGAUGUUUCUAACAUUUUUACCUGGCACAAAGUGGUGCAAUAACUUUAAACCAGUGUAAUGUAUUUAAGUGAUGCUCACUCUAAUGUCUAUCUGGUUUUUUAGUGUUUAAGAAAUUUCAAUGUCUGAUCAGGUAACAGCAUUUGAAUUUGUCAUCGUGGCUCGUUUCAAUGAGCUGCUAGGAAAUAAGACGCAAAACUUAUCACAUGCCAGUUGUAGCAU